Molecule: non-coding RNA, 111 nt
Filed under: Fragilariopsis kerguelensis
Lineage: Eukaryota; Bacillariophyta; Bacillariophyceae; Bacillariales; Bacillariaceae
Source: RNAcentral
AAAAAAAAGAAAAGAACAAAAUCAUGAAAAAUGAACAACCAACAAAAUUGAAGAAACAAAAGCGAGACAUAUUGUUUCUUGGAUUUGGUUUGUCGUUUCUUUUCAUGUUUU